RNAcentral lists this ribosomal RNA (500 nucleotides) under uncultured bacterium. Its description in RNAcentral is "bacterial SSU rRNA". It matches the Rfam family "Bacterial small subunit ribosomal RNA", at positions 29 to 507 of the family's 1533-position model. The record is from RNAcentral.
AGCGAACGCUGGCGGCGUGCCUAACACAUGCAAGUCGAACGUGAACGGGGCAACCCUAGUAAAGUGGCGUACGGGUGAGUAACACGUAGGUAAUCUACCUUACAGUUCGGAAUAACCUGACGAAAGUCGGGGCUAAUACUGGAUAGAGCGACGGAAACCGUAACGGUUUUUUCGGGAAAAGGGAGCUCGAUAAGAGCCUUCGCUGUAAGAUGAGCCUGCGUCUGAUUAGUUAGUUGGUGGGGUAAUGGCCUACCAAGACGAUGAUCAGUAGCUGGUCUGAGAGGAUGAUCAGCCACACUGGAACUGAAACACGGUCCAGACUCCUACGGGAGGCAGCAGUGGGGAAUCUUGCGCAAUGGACGAAAGUCUGACGCAGCCACGCCGCGUGAGUGAAGAAGGCCUUCGGGUUGUAAAGCUCUGUCACCUGGGACGAAAACACUUAAGGUUAAUAGCCUUAGGAAUUGACGGUACCAGGGGAGGAAGCACCGGCUAACUUCGUG